RNAcentral lists this ribosomal RNA (2246 nucleotides) under marine metagenome. RNAcentral describes it as "bacterial LSU rRNA". It matches the Rfam family "Bacterial large subunit ribosomal RNA", at positions 1 to 2333 of the family's 2925-position model. The record is from RNAcentral.
AUAGGCUAAUUAAGAGCGUAUGGGGAAUGCCUAGGCUCUCAGAGGCGAUGAAGGACGUGAUAAGCUGCGAAAAGCUACGGGGAGUGGCACAUACACUGUGAUCCGUAGAUAUCCGAAUGGGGCAACCCACUAUAUUGAAGAUAUAGUACCCGAUUUUUCGGGAGCAAACCCGGGGAACUGAAACAUCUAAGUACCCGGAGGAGAAGAAAACAAAAGUGAUUCCGUUAGUAGCGGCGAGCGAACGCGGAACAGCCCAAACCCAAUUUGUUACGGCAAGUUGGGGGUAAUAGGACCUUAACAUUCAAUGCUUGCAGAACCAGAAAUUACUGGAAAGUAGUACCAUAGAGGGUGAUAGUCCCGUAUGGGUAAUAAGAGUUAUUGAUAGAGGUAUCCUGAGUAGUGCGGGGCACGUGAAACCUUGCAUGAAUUUGCCGGGACCAUCCGGUAAGGCUAAAUACUCCUGAGAGACCGAUAGUGAACCAGUACCGUGAGGGAAAGGUGAAAAGAACCCUGAAUAAGGGAGUGAAAUAGAACCUGAAACCAUGCGCUUACAAGCGGUCGGAGCCAGACUUGUCUGGUGACGGCGUGCCUUUUGCAUAAUGAGCCUACGAGUUACCGUUGUUAGCAUGGUUAAUCCAUUUUGUGGAGAAUCCGCAGCGAAAGCGAGUCUGAAUAGGGCGUUAAGUUAGCAGUGGUAGACGCGAAACCGAGUGAUCUAUCCAUGAGCAGGUUGAAGCUGUGGUAACACAUAGUGGAGGACCGAACCCGUUGACGUUGAAAAGUCUUGGGAUGACUUGUGGAUAGGGGUGAAAGGCCAAUCAAACUCGGAAAUAGCUCGUACUCCCCGAAAUGCAUUUAGGUGCAGCGUUGUAAUAGUUUUAUAGAGGUAGAGCUACUGAUUGGAUGCGGGGGUUUCACCACCUACCAAUUCCUGACAAACUCCGAAUGCUAUAAAAUGUUUUACAGCAGUGAGGGCAUGGGUGCUAAGGUCCAUGUCCGAGAGGGAAACAACCCGGACCACCAGCUAAGGUCCCAAAGUGUAUACUAAGUUGAUUAAACGAGGUUUGACUGCCCAGACAGCUAGGAUGUUGGCUUGGAAGCAGCCAUUCAUUUAAAGAGUGCGUAACAGCUCACUAGUCGAGCGGUCGAGCAUGGAUAAUAAUCGGGCAUAAGUAUAUCACCGAAGCUGUGGCAUCGAAAGAUGGGUAGGGGAGCAUUCUAUAUGCGCUGAAGGUAGACUGUGAGGUUUGCUGGAGCGUAUAGAAAAGAAAAUGUAGGCAUAAGUAACGACAAUGCAGGUGAGAAACCUGCACACCGAAAGACUCAGGUUUCCUCAGCUAUGCUAAUCAGCUGAGGGUUAGUCGGGACCUAACGCGAACCCGAAUGGGGUAGUGGAUGGACAACGGGUUAAUAUUCCCGUACCCGCCGGCGCUAAAAGUGACGGAGAACAAAAGAUAUUGCGUACUGACGGAAAUGUACGUUGAAACCAUUGUAGAGGUGGUGAUAGUACACCAAGGCUUCGGCUGCGGUGAUAAUAUAUCGGAUGAUCUUCCAAGAAAAACAAGCCAGGCGGCCCGUACCGUAAACCGACACAGGUAGUUGGGAUGAGAAUUCUAAGGUGCUCGAGAGAUUCAUGGCUAAGGAACUAGGCAAAAUGGGCCCGUAACUUCGGGAGAAGGGUCGCCCACAGUAAUGUGGGCCGCAGUGAAAAGGUCCAGGCGACUGUUUAUCAAAAACACAGGACUCUGCUAAGUCGAAAGACGAUGUAUAGGGUCUGACACCUGCCCGGUGCCGGAAGGUUAAGUGGAGAUGUCAUCUUCGGAGAAGCAUUAAAAUGAAGCCCCGGUAAACGGCGGCCGUAACUAUAACGGUCCUAAGGUAGCGAAAUUCCUUGUCGGGUAAGUUCCGACCUGCACGAAUGGUGUAACGAUCUGGACACUGUCUCAGCCAUGAGCUCGGUGAAAUUGUAGUAUCGGUGAAGAUGCCGAUUACCCGCUACGGGACGAAAAGACCCCGUGCACCUUUACUAUAGCUUCGUAUUGACCUUGGAUAAGUAAUGUGUAGGAUAGGUGGGAGACUUUGAAAUGGCGUCGCCAGGCGCUGUGGAGUCAUUGUUGAAAUACCACCCUUUGCUUAUCUAGGGCCUAAUCUGCUUCGGCGGAGACAGUGCGUGGUGGGUAGUUUGACUGGGGUGGUCGCCUCCAAAAGAGUAACGGAGGCUUCUAAAGGUACCCUCAGCACGCUUG